Molecule: ribosomal RNA, 253 nt
Filed under: uncultured bacterium
Lineage: Bacteria
Description: partial 16S ribosomal RNA
Rfam family: Bacterial small subunit ribosomal RNA
Source: RNAcentral
UACAGAGGGUGCAAGCGUUGCUCGGAAUCAUUGGGCGUAAAGGGUAGGUAGGUGGUCUCAUUUGUCUGGGGUGAAAGCCCAGGGCUUAACCCUGGAAGUGCCCCGGAAACGGUGAGACUGGAGUCCUGGAGAGGGUCGUGGAAUUCCCGGUGUAGCGGUGAAAUGCGUAGAGAUCGGGAGGAACACCAGAGGCGAAGGCGGCGACCUGGACAGGUACUGACACUCAACUACGAAAGCGUGGGGAGCAAACAGG